RNAcentral lists this ribosomal RNA (2920 nucleotides) under Klebsiella pneumoniae. RNAcentral's name for it is "bacterial LSU rRNA". It matches the Rfam family "Bacterial large subunit ribosomal RNA". Lineage: Bacteria; Pseudomonadati; Pseudomonadota; Gammaproteobacteria; Enterobacterales; Enterobacteriaceae. The record is from RNAcentral.
GGGUUGUGAGGUUAAGCGACUAAGCGUACACGGUGGAUGCCCUGGCAGUCAGAGGCGAUGAAGGACGUGCUAAUCUGCGAAAAGCGUCGGUAAGGUGAUAUGAACCGUUAUAACCGGCGAUGUCCGAAUGGGGAAACCCAGUGCAAUUCGUUGCACUAUCGUUAACUGAAUACAUAGGUUAACGAGGCGAACCGGGGGAACUGAAACAUCUAAGUACCCCGAGGAAAAGAAAUCAACCGAGAUUCCCCCAGUAGCGGCGAGCGAACGGGGAGCAGCCCAGAGUCUGAAUCAGCUUGUGUGUUAGUGGAACGGUCUGGAAAGUCCGACGGUACAGGGUGAUAGUCCCGUACACCAAAAUGCACAGGCUGUGAACUCGAAGAGUAGGGCGGGACACGUGGUAUCCUGUCUGAAUAUGGGGGGACCAUCCUCCAAGGCUAAAUACUCCUGACUGACCGAUAGUGAACCAGUACCGUGAGGGAAAGGCGAAAAGAACCCCGGCGAGGGGAGUGAAAAAGAACCUGAAACCGUGUACGUACAAGCAGUGGGAGCACCUUCGGGUGUGACUGCGUACCUUUUGUAUAAUGGGUCAGCGACUUAUAUUCUGUAGCAAGGUUAACCGUAUAGGGGAGCCGCAGGGAAACCGAGUCUUAACUGGGCGUUAAGUUGCAGGGUAUAGACCCGAAACCCGGUGAUCUAGCCAUGGGCAGGUUGAAGGUUGGGUAACACUAACUGGAGGACCGAACCGACUAAUGUUGAAAAAUUAGCGGAUGACUUGUGGCUGGGGGUGAAAGGCCAAUCAAACCGGGAGAUAGCUGGUUCUCCCCGAAAGCUAUUUAGGUAGCGCCUCGUGAACUCAUCUUCGGGGUAGAGCACUGUUUCGGCUAGGGGGUCAUCCCGACUUACCAACCCGAUGCAAACUACGAAUACCGAAGAAUGUUAUCACGGGAGACACACGGCGGGUGCUAACGUCCGUCGUGAAGAGGGAAACAACCCAGACCGCCAGCUAAGGUCCCAAAGUCAUGGUUAAGUGGGAAACGAUGUGGGAAGGCACAGACAGCCAGGAUGUUGGCUUAGAAGCAGCCAUCAUUUAAAGAAAGCGUAAUAGCUCACUGGUCGAGUCGGCCUGCGCGGAAGAUGUAACGGGGCUAAACCAUGCACCGAAGCUGCGGCAGCGACACUAUGUGUUGUUGGGUAGGGGAGCGUUCUGUAAGCCUGCGAAGGUGUGCUGUGAGGCAUGCUGGAGGUAUCAGAAGUGCGAAUGCUGACAUAAGUAACGAUAAAGCGGGUGAAAAGCCCGCUCGCCGGAAGACCAAGGGUUCCUGUCCAACGUUAAUCGGGCAGGGUGAGUCGACCCCUAAGGCGAGGCCGAAAGGCGUAGUCGAUGGGAAACAGGUUAAUAUUCCUGUACUUGGUGUUACUGCGAAGGGGGACGGAGAAGGCUAUGUUAGCCGGGCGACGGUUGUCCCGGUUUAAGCAUGUAGGCUGAUUGUCCAGGCAAAUCCGGAUAAUCAAGGCUGAGGUGUGAUGACGAGGCACUACGGUGCUGAAGUAACAAAUGCCCUGCUUCCAGGAAAAGCCUCUAAGCAUCAGGUAACAUUAAAUCGUACCCCAAACCGACACAGGUGGUCAGGUAGAGAAUACCAAGGCGCUUGAGAGAACUCGGGUGAAGGAACUAGGCAAAAUGGUGCCGUAACUUCGGGAGAAGGCACGCUGGUGUGUAGGUGAAGUCCCUGCGGAUGGAGCUGAGACCAGUCGAAGAUACCAGCUGGCUGCAACUGUUUAUUAAAAACACAGCACUGUGCAAACACGAAAGUGGACGUAUACGGUGUGACGCCUGCCCGGUGCCGGAAGGUUAAUUGAUGGGGUUAUCCGUAAGGAGAAGCUCUUGAUCGAAGCCCCGGUAAACGGCGGCCGUAACUAUAACGGUCCUAAGGUAGCGAAAUUCCUUGUCGGGUAAGUUCCGACCUGCACGAAUGGCGUAAUGAUGGCCAGGCUGUCUCCACCCGAGACUCAGUGAAAUUGAACUCGCUGUGAAGAUGCAGUGUACCCGCGGCAAGACGGAAAGACCCCGUGAACCUUUACUAUAGCUUGACACUGAACAUUGAGCCUUGAUGUGUAGGAUAGGUGGGAGGCUUUGAAGCGUGGACGCCAGUCUGCGUGGAGCCAACCUUGAAAUACCACCCUUUAAUGUUUGAUGUUCUAACGUUGGCCCCUGACCGGGGUUGCGGACAGUGUCUGGUGGGUAGUUUGACUGGGGCGGUCUCCUCCCAAAGCGUAACGGAGGAGCACGAAGGUUAGCUAAUCCUGGUCGGACAUCAGGAGGUUAGUGCAAUGGCAUAAGCUAGCUUGACUGCGAGCGUGACGGCGCGAGCAGGUGCGAAAGCAGGUCAUAGUGAUCCGGUGGUUCUGAAUGGAAGGGCCAUCGCUCAACGGAUAAAAGGUACUCCGGGGAUAACAGGCUGAUACCGCCCAAGAGUUCAUAUCGACGGCGGUGUUUGGCACCUCGAUGUCGGCUCAUCACAUCCUGGGGCUGAAGUAGGUCCCAAGGGUAUGGCUGUUCGCCAUUUAAAGUGGUACGCGAGCUGGGUUUAGAACGUCGUGAGACAGUUCGGUCCCUAUCUGCCGUGGGCGCUGGAGAAUUGAGGGGGGCUGCUCCUAGUACGAGAGGACCGGAGUGGACGCAUCACUGGUGUUCGGGUUGUCAUGCCAAUGGCACUGCCCGGUAGCUAAAUGCGGAAGAGAUAAGUGCUGAAAGCAUCUAAGCACGAAACUUGCCCCGAGAUGAGUUCUCCCUGAGACUUUAAGUCUCCUGAAGGAACGUUGAAGACGACGACGUUGAUAGGCCGGGUGUGUAAGCGCAGCGAUGCGUUGAGCUAACCGGUACUAAUGAACCGUGAGGCUUAACCUUACAACGCCGAAG